UACGUAGGUGGCAAGCGUUAUCCGGAAUUAUUGGGCGUAAAGAGGGAGCAGGCGGCAGCAAAGGUCUGUGGUGAAAGACUGAAGCUUAACUUCAGUAAGCCAUAGAAACCGGGCAGCUAGAGUGCAGGAGAGGAUCGUGGAAUUCCAUGUGUAGCGGUGAAAUGCGUAGAUAUCACGCAGAACUCCGAUUGCGAAGGCAGCAUACCGGCGCCCUACUGACGCUGAGGCACGAAAGCGUGGGUAUCGAACAGG
Molecule: ribosomal RNA, 252 nt
Filed under: uncultured bacterium
Lineage: Bacteria
Description: partial 16S ribosomal RNA
Rfam family: Bacterial small subunit ribosomal RNA
Source: RNAcentral